CCUACGGGAGGCAGCAGUGGGGAAUAUUGGACAAUGGGCGAAACCCUGAUCCAGCGACGCCGCGUGAGUGAAGAAGUAUUUCGGUAUGUAAAGCCCUAUCAGCAGGGAAGAAAGAAAUGACGGUACCUGAGUAAGGAGCCCAGGCUAACUAAGUGCCAGCAGCCGCGGGAAUACGUAGGGGGCAAGCGUUAUCCGGAAUUACUGGGUGUAAAGGGAGCGUAGACGGUAAUGUAAGUCUGGAGUGAAAGGCGGUGGCCUAACCCCCGUACUGCUCUGGAAACUGUGUAACUGGAGUGCAGGAGAGGCAGGCGGAAUUCCUAGUGUAGCGGUGAAAUGCGUAGAUAUUAGGAGGAACACCAGUGGCGAAGGCGGCCUGCUGGACUGUAACUGACGUUGAGGCUCGAAAGCGUGGGUAGCAAACAGGAUUAGAUACCCUUGUAGUC
This 443-nucleotide ribosomal RNA is filed under the name uncultured bacterium. RNAcentral's name for it is "partial 16S ribosomal RNA". It matches the Rfam family "Bacterial small subunit ribosomal RNA", at positions 338 to 795 of the family's 1533-position model. The record is from RNAcentral.